Non-coding RNA from Ornithorhynchus anatinus (platypus), 72 nucleotides. The record is from Rfam. NCBI's taxonomy places the organism in Eukaryota, Metazoa, Chordata, Mammalia, Monotremata, Ornithorhynchidae.
AGCAGUGUGGCUCAGUGGAAAGAGCCCUGGCUUGGGAGUCAGAGGUCAUGGGUUCUAAUCCCGACUCCACCA